UACGCAGGCGGAAAAUUAAGUCAGUGGUGAAAUCCUGCAGCUUAACUGUAGAACUGUCAUUGAUACUGGUUUUCUUGAAUGUAGUUGAGGUAGGCGGAAUGUGUAAUGUAGCGGUGAAAUGCUUAGAUAUUACACAGAACACCGAUUGCGAAGGCAGCUUACUAAGCUACUAUUGACGCUGAGGUACGAAAGCGUGGGGAGCGAACAGGAUUAGAUACCCUGGUAGUCC
RNAcentral lists this ribosomal RNA (229 nucleotides) under uncultured bacterium. RNAcentral describes it as "partial 16S ribosomal RNA". It matches the Rfam family "Bacterial small subunit ribosomal RNA", at positions 568 to 796 of the family's 1533-position model. The record is from RNAcentral.